GACGAACGCUGGCGGCGUGCUUAACACAUGCAAGUCGAACGAUGAACCCGGAGCUUGCUCCGGCGGAUUAGUGGCGAACGGGUGAGUAACACGUGAGUAACCUGCCCUUGACUCUGGGAUAACUGCUAGAAAUGGUAGCUAAUACCGGAUACGACCCUCGGUGGCAUCACCAGGGGGUGGAAAGAAUUUCGGUCAAGGAUGGACUCGCGGCCGAUCAGCUAGUUGGGGAGGUAACGGCUCACCAAGGCGACGACGGGUAGCCGGCCUGAGAGGGUGGCCGGCCACACUGGGACUGAGACACGGCCCAGACUCCGACGGGAGGCAGCAGUGGGGAAUAUUGCACAAUGGGCGCAAGCCUGAUGCAGCAACGCCGCGUGAGGGAUGACGGCCUUCGGGUUGUAAACCUCUUUUAGUAGGGAAGAAGCGAAAGUGACGGUACCUGCAGAAAAAGCACCGGCUAACUACGUGCCAGCCGCCGCCGUAA
RNAcentral lists this ribosomal RNA (484 nucleotides) under uncultured bacterium. RNAcentral's name for it is "partial 16S ribosomal RNA". It matches the Rfam family "Bacterial small subunit ribosomal RNA", at positions 28 to 523 of the family's 1533-position model. The record is from RNAcentral.